UACGUAGGGUGCAAGCGUUAAUCGGAAUUACCGGGCGUAAAGCGUGCGCAGGCGGUUGUGUAAGACAGAUGUGAAAUCCCCGGGCUCAACCUGGGAACUGCAUUUGUGACUGCACGGCUCGAGUGCGGCAGAGGGGGAUGGAAUUCCGCGUGUAGCAGUGAAAUGCGUAGAUAUGCGGAGGAACACCGAUGGCGAAGGCAAUCCCCUGGGCCUGCACUGACGCUCAUGCACGAAAGCGUGGGGAGCAAACAGG
This 253-nucleotide ribosomal RNA is filed under the name uncultured bacterium. RNAcentral describes it as "partial 16S ribosomal RNA". It matches the Rfam family "Bacterial small subunit ribosomal RNA", at positions 524 to 776 of the family's 1533-position model. The record is from RNAcentral.